This 2717-nucleotide small RNA is filed under the name Pongo abelii (Sumatran orangutan). Its description in RNAcentral is "retained intron". Lineage: Eukaryota; Metazoa; Chordata; Mammalia; Primates; Hominidae. The record is from RNAcentral.
AGAGCCAGCGGGACCAACGACAGCGGCCCUCGACUGGUGUCCAUUGCGGGCACGCGACCGUCGGUGCGGAAUGGACAGCUGCUGGUAUCAACCGGGCUCCCAGCCCUGGACCAGCUCUUAGGUGGAGGUUUAGCCGUUGGAACAGUUCUUCUAAUUGAGGAGGAUAAAUAUAAUAUUUACUCACCUUUGCUCUUCAAGUAUUUCCUGGCAGAAGGAAUUGUCAAUGGGCAUACUUUGUUGGUUGCAUCUGCUAAAGAGGAUCCUGCCAACAUUUUACAGGAACUUCCAGCACCAUUACUUGAUGAUAAAUGUAAAAAGGAAUUUGAUGAAGAUGUAUACAAUCAUAAAACACCAGAAUCUAAUAUUAAGAUGAAAAUAGCUUGGCGUUACCAGUUGUUACCCAAGAUGGAGAUUGGACCAGUAUCAUCUUCAAGAUUUGGUCACUAUUAUGAUGCAUCAAAAAGAAUGCCACAAGAACUAAUUGAGGCUUCAAAUUGGCAUGGAUUUUUUCUUCCAGAGAAAAUAUCUUCAACUCUCAAAGUAGAACCCUGUUCUUUGACCCCUGGCUACACAAAGCUGCUUCAGUUUAUCCAGAACAUCAUUUAUGAGGAAGGAUUUGAUGGAUCCAAUCCUCAGAAAAAACAGAGAAACAUUUUAAGAAUAGGAAUUCAGAAUCUUGGCUCACCUUUAUGGGGAGAUGAUAUUUGCUGUGCAGAAAAUGGUGGCAACAGUCACAGCCUUACCAAGUUCCUCUAUGUUCUCCGUGGUCUUCUGAGAACCUCUCUUUCAGCCUGCAUCAUCACAAUGCCAACACAUCUGAUCCAGGUAAGAACUUUCCAGAAUUACUUUUUCAUAAUUCGUGGUGAUAUAGUAUGACAUUGUGGUUUUAAUUUGCAUUUACAUGAUAACUAAUGAUGUUGACCAUCUUUUCAUGUGCUUUCUGGCCAUUUGCAUGUCUUCUUUUGUCUGUCUUUUGUCCAUUUUUUAUUGAUAGUCUCAUUAUCAAUUUGUAAAGUUCCUUGAUAUUUUAGCUACAACUUGGUAAUAAUUUUCCUCCUAUCUAUGACUUACUUUUUCUAUUUUCUUAACAGUGUCUUUUGAAGAGCUGAAGUUUUCAAUAUUGAUGAAGUUUAAUUUAUAAAUUUUUUAAUGGUUAGUGGUUUACUCCUUCACACCUCCAGUCUUGACAGUCUUUUUCUUCUGUGUUUUCUUCUAAACAUUUUAUAGUUUUUUCUUUUACUAAUGAAUCAAUAUAUUUCCAUUUGAAUUUUUUCCACAGUUUUAGUUCAUGUUCUGAAACAGCUUUUAGUUUCUUUAAUUAAUAUUCUAAUGUAAAGUAUAUGUUAAUAUUAGUAUAGUUAAGUACAUAUUGUCUGCCUCAAGCAUGUGAUUUCAUGUAAUCUUAUAUAUCUAGUACAUUGUAGUCUCCAUAGAGGGAGGGCCAGAUAUUUAUACUUUUCUUUAUAGGCUUUAUGGUAAUAACAUAAUAUUAAACAUGGUUUUAAAAUUCUUAACACAGUACCUAGGCUUUUCCUAGAUAUUCAAUAAAUGUUAAAUGAAUAUUGAAUCUUUAUAAAGUUAUGUAAUCUUAGUAUCUCUGUUCCAACAUACCCAGACCCUACCUGCAAAUAGCAAAUUUAUUAAAAUGACAUUUAGUUACAUUCAUUAUAUAGAGCAUAUAUAGCAAAUAUGACUGAAAAGUGUGACAAAUGAAAAGUGAAUUUAGCUAGAUGCAGUGCCUUACACCUGUAAUCCCAGCACUUUGGAAGGCUGAGGCAGAAGGAUCACUUGAGGCAAGAAGUUCAGCCAGGAUAACAUAGCAAGUCCCUAUCUCUACAAAAAAUUAAAUUAAAUUUUAAAAGAAGUGAAUUUGGUCUCCUUGGCCAGUAGAAUUUAUUGAUUUAUAAUAGUCAGCAGAGGAUAACUCAGUUUUCCUUGAAGGGCUUUUUAUACAUUGUAUCUGGACCUAAAUUAUUAUUAUUAGCUUACAGUUGCAGACAUAUCAUAAGGAAACUCCUUUCUCUAAUCAUGCUAGACAUUGUACACAUACUUGUAUUGCUUUCAUUGUUAAUAAGUUAUCAUAAAGUUAGUACUCUAAUAAUAGUUUGGGUAGACCUGGUGAGCUUUUUAUGAUAAAUAAACAUGAAACAGACUUAUCAGAUACUGGUGAAAAUACUACUACUGAUACUACUACUACUACUGUGCUAUUACUACAACUAUUUAUUAGCCAUGUACUACAUCCCAAGCACUUUACAAGCAUUAUGUCCUUGAAUCUUCAGUGCUACCCUGUGAAACAGAUAGUUUUUACCUCUGUUUCCAUAGGGUCACCCAGUUAAUAAGUAGCAGGCCAGUGUUCUUCCCUGACUUCAAACCUUAUCAUCCUCACCAUUAGGUUAUAUGGUUUCACUAAUCAGCACAAAAUCCCUGCGAGAUAGCUGUGAUUUCACUGUUUGCAAAGACAACUAAACUGAAGUUAAAUGAUUGUCCAAUAUCCCAUAUCUAUUGUACAUUUUAAGCUGGUAUUCAAGCUCAGAUCUGCUUAACUCUAAAAUUUAAACUCUUUACCCUCUGUCACACUAUAUCUUAUGUGUCCUGAAUUAUUAACUACCUUUGAUGCACUAAGUUUCUAUUAGGAAAAAAAGUUAUUGGCUAACAUUGUAAUUAUUCCACAUUUAUUAAGAGAAAAUUAUUUUUGUAAAAUAUUUGAUAAAUUAGUA